UUGGUAAUUGUAUAUAUUUAAUCUUUACCUUCUUUUUACGUUUUAUUAUUCUUUGGUUGUGAAAUAAAGGUUUUAUGCUUGUUGACCACGCACGUUUCUAAUAAGUGGAAAGAUGGUUAUUCAUGGUCCAAAGUAGUGGGGUGUUUGUUCAUAUUUUUCAGGACCCAUGAUCUUAAUUUCAACCAACAUUCAAGACUAGUAGACUAGCAGUUUUUGGAGGUGGAUUGUAGCAGUUAUAAGAACGUUCUAGAAGUGGGAAGUGGAUGAAACUAACCACGACAUGAAGGACUAUAAAAGAAGCAAGACGCCUCAUUCAUUCUUAGGUUUUGGGAGUGAUUUUUCACCGACCUAACAUUCGCUUACAACCAACUCGUCAUUUUGUCUUGCUGCAAACAUGACAACAGUUCUUCAAACCUUGCUUUGACGGAAGAGUCUUAGGCAGUCAAUCUGUAAAGACUUACUCUGUAUUGACGGGAGGUCAAAGGUAAGGGUUAAGAUCGAGGACAUUGGAGCGUAGCAGACUGUUUUGUCCGAGUUAUUCGGCUAUGUUGUUUCAACAUUUCUGCUGCAAACGUGAUACCUAUUCUUCAAGGAUGGCUUUGACGAAUGGAGCUUAGGCAGCUAAUCUGUAAAGUCUCACUUUGUAUUGACAGGGAGGUCAAGGGCAAGAAUUGAAGUACAAGACCAUUGGAGCAUAGCAGUAUGUUUUGGUUCUGUGUUGAUUCGACAUUCUAGUACAGUGAGUAGAUAGGUAGAUUUAUCUUAGGCAGCCAAUCUGUAAAGAUAGAUCUCCAAGAGAUCUCAAAUCUGUACUUUGAAUUAUUGAUGAUCAUAGUGUUUUUAGCCUUGAGGCACUCGCGGAUUAUAUUUAUAUAAUCCGUAAAAGGGU
RNAcentral lists this long non-coding RNA (889 nucleotides) under Salvia miltiorrhiza (redroot sage). RNAcentral's name for it is "long non-coding RNA (SMIL_LNC002589)". The record is from RNAcentral. Lineage: Eukaryota; Viridiplantae; Streptophyta; Magnoliopsida; Lamiales; Lamiaceae.